UGCCAAACGCGGACUGCUCACUCUUGUGCGAUCAAUGCUUUAAACUUGCUAUACAACACUUAGAAGCAGCAUGCAUUACAUUUCUUUGUUGCUUCGGAAUGUUUGUGCUUGGAGAUCUCGACUUUAAUCCUUGGAUGACCGGCAGCCGGUGCAGUUAGGUCAAAUUCGAAUUCAAAAUUUAAAUUCAAAGAUUCGGAUUCUAAAACAAAGCAACACGUCAGACUGAAAACCCGAUUCACGAUGAGGAUUCUGCGCGUCUCAGCACACAGAACAUCACUUUUUAUCAUCACUUUUGGUUAGAGCUUUCUGAUCUUUCUGCUCUGAAAUCAACAUGCCUCACACUCGCAAUAGGAACCCGAGUCCAAUCCCAGAGGUGACAUGGGACACUGGAUUGAAAGAGAUGAACGAGACCUGGAAGGGAGCUAUUGCCUGUUUGGGAGUUGCUGUCUUUUUUGUCAUGACAAUUGGGAUAAUUUAUUGGCAAGUUGUGGAUCAGCCCAACAAGAACUGGAUCCUCAAGGGGAGUUUUAGUGGGCUUAUUUGGGAGAGACGGACGCAAACUCUGGUCAUUCAGACACUGACUGAAGAUAAGACGUUUGCGGAGAUUGACGUGGGGAAUGUGGGGAACCCUGAUAUUGAGGUUCCAUUUGUGAGGAACAUGUGCUGGCUCAACAAAACCGAAUUCUGCUACACGUGGGAUUCGGUGGCAGAGGUGAAGAUAUCUCUGGAAACAGAGGAGGAAUCAGAUACUGAGUGCUACAGUGUAACAUGGACUCCAAUUCACUGUCAUGUGGACCUAAAGGACUGUUUCUCCAUGGUGAAUAUUUCGUGGUAUGGAGGUGCCAGUGUCCGAGCGCACAACUGGCCGAUAAACGAGGCCAACAUUUCCAUGCAACCCUUUACAGUCAGCGACCUUCGGGACAACCCCUCUGGCUUCGGAUCAGUUUUAGAGCGCUACUUCCUGGGAUCUUCAGGUGUGUCAGUUAUAGUUGCCCCGAACAUCCCUCUUCAUGUAGGAAUGGAAAGCAGACAGCAGUACUGUUUGCAGACACCACCCAGCAUGGAGCACAUGCCUCUGCAGUACACUGUGUGUGUUGGACAUAACAUUAAAGCAGUCCAUCAGGAGUCAAUGAAACUGCUCUCAACAGCCAGUCGAGAGCUGCCAAACAUGGAUGUCUUACGGCUGCCUUUCUGGAAGCUUCUAGCAAAUGUGGACUCAGAGGCCAAGCUAGAGAGAGAGCUGAGAACCUUCUCAAACCGUCUGAAGAGGCAUCACCUGGGGGAGGGAGUCAUCAGCCUCGACGAACAUUCCACAGCUCUCCUCUCCAACAUGGACCAAGGCUACCUCAAUGGCAAGAAAAGGAUGUCUAAGAGACAGACCAGGGACCUCCCUUUUGUAAAGCUUCUAAACAUUUCCAUCACCCUGUCCCCGUACCUGAGUGUGGACUCCCAGCAGUUCCAGAGCUCCAUGCAGGAAGGCAUUGACUAUUGGCUGAGCCUGCCCUCAGGGCCACAGGGUCAACUGGUGCCUCUGUUGACUCAGUGGAAAGGAAAAUACAGUGUGAAGCUGAACCUCACCAACCCAGAAGCCACUAACUGGUUUCUGGACAAAGUGGACAGCUUGCAUAGCCAUUUGGGCAUGGAGUAUGUCAUCCUGGAAGGUGGAGAGGGAAACCCUUUUGAGGUACAGGCCCUGCGCAUCCCUCUGGCAUUGGUUGGGGAUGAAUACAUCACACUCCUUGCUGACCUGGCAGAGAGAAUAGGGGACAAUGUCAUUGUCACCUCGGGAACAAGGUCCAGCCACAAUCCGCUUUUCAUCCGUAUGAGUGCACUACAGUCUGACUGGAGUUACUCUGGCCUUAAGGGCAUCAUUCCAUCCCUACUGCAUCACAGUCUUCUGGGAUAUAAUUUCUUCAUUCCUGAUGCAGUAGGUGGCGCUCUCUCUGCCGAACUGGUCGGAGAUGACGAGCUCUUCAUCCGCUGGCUGGAGAUCGCAGCCUUCCUUCCUGUCAUCAGCUUCCAGACACCUCCAUGGGUCUUUGAGAAGGAAUGGGUCCUAAACAUCACCAGAUUCUACAUAGCCAAGCACCACGACUUCGUGGUUCCUCUGAUAUUGAAAUAUGCAAAAGAAUGGCAAGCUAAUGGAAACCCCAUCUACAGACCACUGUGGUGGCUCAGCCCGGACGACCCGGUCACAUUCACCAUUGAUGAUGAGUUCCUUGUUGGAGAUGAGGUCCUUGUAGCACCAGUGACUGAAAAGGGAGUUAUACAAAGAGACAUUUACCUGCCAGAGAGUGACUUUCAGUGGCAGGACACUAACAACGCUCAGGUGUUUGAUGGAGGGACAUUUCUGGAAAGUUACCCGGUCGGCCUUGGGGACGUGCCGGUUUUCAUACGACGGAGAUCCUAAGGCUUACUUACCACUUAUUUUUUAUUUUAUUUUUUUUACUUUUUUGAAGUUUUCACUUGUGCUGAUCUCAAAUUGCACUUUCCAAAAAGACCAUUAUCUGUGUCUCAAGGAGUCUUGAGAAAAACUGUGGUUUAUACUUGAUAAAUUCUGACAGCCUCCUAAAGUUGAACUGUGUCCACAUCUCAUGAAAUGGAGCCAGAAAUCAAACCCUUUAUUUGCUUAAAAACAAUCAAUGGAAUUUUACAAAGAAGACCAAACAAUAAUCAAAAGUCUCUGCAGAGAAAGACUACAAGCAAAAAACGAUUCGCUGAAGUUGGAUGAAGAUGAAAAAUAGUUCACUAUGAUUCUUCUCAACUCUUCUCCAGCGGGGUUUUUUCUUGAAAUUUGUGCACAUUUUGCUGUAGCUGUGUAAUGUUUUAACUGUACCUCAAAUUGCCAUGGUGUUUUGUUUGUUGUUGUAAAAUCUGAGCGAUUACAAGCACUUAAUAAUUGAGGAGAUUGAAAUGAAGUGCUUUUAGCAUACAUAGCACAAUUACUUUUGUAUAUUAAUUAAACAAUAACAAAAUCAAUCAAUAGUACAAGGAUAAGAGCCACUGACAAUCAAAAUAUAGGAGAUGAUUUCUCCUCAUUUCAUAGCUGAACAGUCUUAGUUUAAAUGCAACACACAAUAUUGGAUAUAUUGUUAUUUCAUAAAGGUAGUUUUUGGUAUGCUUAUUUUAAUAAUUAUUUAGUUUAGCGUCUUCUAAUUGACAAGAUUAAACCACUAGCAUAUUACUAGAUCAUGAGUGAUUUUCAAUGUAGUGACCGUUUAACAUGGGAUUUUAUAUAGGGUAGAGUUUUAUAUUUAAAUCAAAACUGACUAAACUUGAUCAUUCAGCCAAUUUGAUGACAAAGCUUACUGUAUGCUUUAACCUCUGCAUUUAAAUACAUUGAUGAUUUUAACGACACAUAUACUCAUAUCAUGUGCUCAUAUCUAAAAAAAGAAGAAAAAAAGUAGUGUCUGGUGUAUGUGGCAUUUAAUAAAAUACAGAUAAAUUCCUUACAAUAAUGCAUUUCUAGAAAUACAUUUCAGAAAUGCAAAAUUAUAAUAGAGGUGCUGCUACUUUCCUUCAGCUUUGAAUAUAUCGUGCCUCACAAGAUCCAGCUUUGGACCAUGGGUCCCAGCGCUUAGAGACUUCAUUUCAGUCACUACCAUAUGAAACUACAGUACAGAGAGAGACAAUGAGAAGUUGAUCAGCGUUACCUGAUAUGUGUGGCCUACUAGGAAUGUCUUCUUAAUCUUCACUGUGAUUGUAGAAUGUUUACUGUAAGUGCAGGUUUCUCAGGUCAAACAAAUUGAAUCUAAAAGAGAGAAAAUGUCUUACUUGUGCCCCAGCACACUGUUAGUGUCUUAAUCUCGUGGUUUUUGAUGCUCUUUUCACUAGUGCAUUUCCGGAAGAGAAAAAUUGUGAUGAUCUUAUAUAGAGUGGUGUUUUUGGAGGCUUUUUCCCCCUGUAUUUUAUAUUAAAAUGCUACACUUUGAUGACAGUGAUAUGUUGAAAUGUUACCUGCUGCAUAAUCUUUGCUAGUUACAUUUUGUAUAAAUCAGGUGCCACAAGUUGUCCACAGCAGUAUGCAUAUAUCAUUCAUUGUGCCAUUCAAUGUUUUUAUCUUCUGUAAAAUCUGAAAAAUAGAGAUGUCAAUCUGCAAUAAAGUUUACAUUUUGUUACUGUAGGAACCCAUUGUUUUAACUGUCCUUUGGAGACUAUAUGUGAAGAAAAUAUUGCACCCCAAAAUCAAAUGGAAGAAAUAAGACAUUAUAUUUUGCUUACAGAAAAAUUAAGCCAAUUGUUUAUUGCAUUAAGAUUUUUUUUUUUGCAUUGAGACAUUAUUUUCAUGACAAUUAAGCAGUAAAAAUAACUAUAAUACAGUAAUAUUUAGUACAACAAAUACUAUUAUGAUAUAAAAAUACUUUACAAUUUGAAUAAAUAAAUCAGAACAAUGGUGAUUGUAAAGUAUUUUUACAUCAUAAUAGUAUUUGCUGUACUAAAAAAAAUUAUAGUAUUAGUUAUUUUACUGUAUUAUGGCAUUGUUUACUGUUUUACAGUAAAAACAAACCUGUAGUACAAGUACAGUAGUGCUUAAAGGUAAAUUAAGCCUA
This is an RNA transcript of Myxocyprinus asiaticus (Chinese sucker), 4550 nucleotides long. It is a transcript of the gene named SITS-binding protein-like, with no coding region annotated. The record is from RefSeq and is a predicted model, not a curated record. Lineage: Eukaryota; Metazoa; Chordata; Actinopteri; Cypriniformes; Catostomidae. The transcript has 11 exons.